Molecule: long non-coding RNA, 2391 nt
Organism: Mytilus californianus (California mussel)
Lineage: Eukaryota; Metazoa; Mollusca; Bivalvia; Mytilida; Mytilidae
Exons: 8
Source: RefSeq, a predicted model, not a curated record
GGAAGAGGAACUGUAAAAACGCCUCCUCCUGUGAUUGGAAGAAGAACUGAAGAAAUGCCUCCUUUUGUGAAUAGAAGAAGAACUGUACCAACGCAUCGUCCUGGUGAGUAUGACAAUACCUUAAAUGGUAGAAUAAACACAUUCACUACUAGUGAACCUGAAGGGUGAAGAUUUCAUAGCUAAGUCUUACGUUAAUAUUAAUGAAAUAAUAUCAUGCCAUUUUGACAUUUCUAUUUAAAAAAAGUUCCUUGUGAUGUCAUUGUCAUGGUAUAACGUAUAACAUGACAUGUUUAGGAAAAUAACAUUUUAGCAUUAACAUAACACAAAUGAUACUAACUUAGACAAAUAUUACAUUUCUUUCCAAAUAUCAUAUAGUGUAAGACUGUUGCUUUUACUCAAUUACCAGAGAUAUAUUUGAAACUUCGGCAGCUCUACCAGAUUUUGCAGCAUUUCUUAAAUCAAGGAAAAUCUAAAGCUGCAAUAGCAAAUAUAUAUGACAGAUUUAAUCCAAUCGAAGAUACAAUUCUUAACAUUUGGUAUGCCAGAUGAGCGUAUCGUCUUCAUAAUACUCACCAGUGACAUUCGGAUCAAAACAGUACAAAAAUUGGAUGAUCAUUAAAAACCGAAAAUCUGAAAAUUUGGGCUUUAACAGCUUAGGUAAUUAAUGCAUAAGAGUAGAACAAUAUUAAUGUUUUGAUUAAUUGAACAUGCAACACAGAAUUUACCAUUAGCGGGCUGGUGAUUCCCUUAUGACCAAAACCUCCAUCAGCAGUCGCAUCAGCCAUCUGGUUUUCAAAAAGUCACCAAAGAUACCAUGUUGAUAAGUUGGUGCAGCAGAUGCGCGUUUCGUCUCAUCAGUGGCACUCGGAUCAAAACAGAUGAAAGCGAACAGAAAAAGAAAUGUAUCAAUGCCUGGUCGUGCUAGUCCAGGGGACAGUGGUUCUGAAUCAAUGUCAGAGGCUGAAUUUGAGAAUAUAUAACAGAAGAUGGAUUUACAGGCAAUAACACGUCAUGUUGGACAGUUUUGAGGAACAAGAAAAGAUCUUGGGAGGAUGCAUUUGGGAUAUAUACAUCUUUGAAUUUAACAGAUUUACACUACUCAUGCUUUACUAUGUUAUGUUAGCCAUUAUACCAAAUUUUGUAUUUUAUAUAGUACCGCUACGGCGUAUAAAGGAACUAUUUAUUGCCUUCAAAUGGUUCAGAUUGUAUUUGAUAGAAGUAGUUUUUAACUGCCUCGACAAAGUAACAAAGUGAGACGGAGACGUGCUGUUUCUAGCGGCGUCAAUAGAUAUAAGAAGAUGUGGUAUGAGUGCCAAUGAGACAACUCUCCAUCCAAGUCAACAUUUAUAAAAGUAAACCAUUAUAGGUCACAGUACGGUCUUCAACACGGAGCCUUGGCUCACACCGAACAGUAAGCUAUAAAGGGCCCCAAAAAAUUACUAGUGUAAAACAAUUCAAACGGGAAAACCAACGGUUUAAUCUAUAUAAAAAACGAGAAACGAGAAACACUUAUGAACCACAUCAACAAACGACAACUACUGAACAGAUUCCUGACUUCAAAAAUGUUUUAGUUUGUGAUUAGGUCAGUUUAUGCAGAACCAUUAGUGGUAUAUAAUGAAAUGUGGUAUGCAGUUGUAUAAGCAUUGGCACAUUUCAUCUCCAUAAAGAUUAUUAAGCCACCCCCAAAGUCAUGGUCCAUUGAUUUUUUAAAAACUUUUUCCUAAUUCACAAGUUAACAUUUUGAUAAGGUCACAUUGAAGGUACCUUUGAUAACUAUUUACACCACUGGGUCGAUGCCGCUGCUGGUGGACGUUUCGUCCCCGAGGAUAUCACCAGCCCAGUAGUCAGCACUUCGGUGUUUGACAUGAAUAUCAAUUAUACGGUCAUUUUUAUAAAAUUCCUGUUACAAAACUUUGAUUUUUUUCGGAAAACUAAGGAUUUUCUUAUCCCAGGAAUAGAUUACCUUAGCCGUAUUUGGCACAACUUUUUGGGAUUUUGGGUCCUCAGUGCUCUUCAACUUUGUACUUGUUUGGCUUUAUAACUAUUUUGAUCUGAGCGUCACUGAUGAGUCUUAUGUAGACGAAACGCGCGUCUGGCGUAUUAAAUUAUAAUCCUGGUACCUUUGAUAACUAAUUAUACUAUCAAAAUUAAAUAAAGGCAAGACAUAUCUGUGUGUCAACAGUUUAUGUAAAUUUCUAAUCAAAACUGAUCCCAUAAUACUAAACAACGCCUUAUUCUGAUCGUAAAAGGAAAAAAGAAUGAACAUAUCUAAUAAGCAGAACAUUUUAUAUUUUUAGCUUUUGAUAUAAUUUUAAUUAAUUCAACCGAAAUUUCACUUAAUAAAAAUUAAAAGCAUGUUUUUUUAUUCGUUUAUGUACUUGUGCAAUAGAC